GGUUCUCAAGCUCAUAUGGUAUGAGCACUCGACUCAUAAUCGAAAGGUACGUAGGUUCGAAUCCUCGGGGAGCCACCA
Molecule: transfer RNA, 78 nt
Filed under: Pectobacterium phage DU_PP_V
Lineage: Duplodnaviria; Heunggongvirae; Uroviricota; Caudoviricetes; Demerecviridae
Description: tRNA-Met
Rfam family: tRNA
About the family: Transfer RNA (tRNA) molecules are approximately 80 nucleotides in length.
Source: RNAcentral